RNAcentral lists this non-coding RNA (67 nucleotides) under Intestinimonas massiliensis (ex Afouda et al. 2020). RNAcentral's name for it is "Fluoride riboswitch". It matches the Rfam family "Fluoride riboswitch aptamer (crcB RNA motif)", at positions 10 to 61 of the family's 64-position model. Lineage: Bacteria; Bacillati; Bacillota; Clostridia; Eubacteriales. The record is from RNAcentral.
GCAGGGAAUGAGGUUCUCCCCUGGAAUUCGAUCCUAAACCGCUUUUUAAGCUGAUGACUUCUGCGAU